RNAcentral lists this unclassified non-coding RNA (384 nucleotides) under uncultured fungus. Its description in RNAcentral is "sequence contains ITS1". The stretch from base 1 to 105 matches the Rfam family "5.8S ribosomal RNA", at positions 50 to 154 of the family's 154-position model. Lineage: Eukaryota; Fungi. The record is from RNAcentral.
AAAGUGCGAUAAGCAAUGCGAAUUGCAGAAUUCCGCGAAUCAUCAGAUCCUUGAACGCAACUGGCGCUAAGAGGCUCUCCUCCUAGCAUGCCUGUUUCAGUGUCUGAAAACCUCACAUCUAACUUAAUGUGACUGACAAAGAUUGGGGAGGAAGAGGAAAAAGAUUUAUAUCUCUUCUCCUCUCUCUCUCUCCCCCUUUCUAAGUCUUUCAUGAAAGAUGUGCGUGUGGGUCUUUGGACCCCUCAUCGAAUUGGUCACUGGUCUCUUCAGUGAUUUCGAUAGGGGGAAAUAAAUACCAAUUACCUGAAUACACGUAGCACUAACUAAAAUUCAAACACUCAAACUCUGCAUCUGAAAUCAGGCAAGAACACCCGCUGAACUUAA